Molecule: ribosomal RNA, 486 nt
Filed under: uncultured bacterium
Lineage: Bacteria
Description: SSU rRNA
Rfam family: Bacterial small subunit ribosomal RNA
Source: RNAcentral
AGGACGAACGCUGGCGGCGUGCCUAACACAUGCAAGUCGAACGAGGUUCAUUCAGUAGCAAUACUGAAGAAGAUCAAGUGGCGAACGGGUGAGUAGCACGUGAGCAACCUACCCCGAAGACCGGGACAACACCGGGAAACCGGUGCUAAUACCGGAUAUCCCCAUCGGAUCGCAUGGUUUGAUGAGGAAAUGGAUUCCGCUUUGGGAGGGGCUCGCGGCCUAUCAGCUUGUUGGUGAGGUAACGGCUCACCAAGGCUUCGACGGGUAGCUGGUCUGAGAGGACGAUCAGCCACACUGGGACUGAGACACGGCCCAGACUCCUACGGGAGGCAGCAGUGGGGAAUCUUGCACAAUGGGCGAAAGCCUGAUGCAGCAACGCCGCGUGAGGGACGAAGGCUUUCUGAGUUGUAAACCUCUUUCAGCAGGGACGAUUGUGACGGUACCUGCAGAAGAAGCCCGGCAACUACGUGCCAGCAGCCGCGGUAA